RNAcentral lists this ribosomal RNA (253 nucleotides) under uncultured bacterium. RNAcentral's name for it is "partial 16S ribosomal RNA". It matches the Rfam family "Bacterial small subunit ribosomal RNA", at positions 524 to 776 of the family's 1533-position model. The record is from RNAcentral.
UACGUAGGGACCAAGCGUUGUUCGGAUUUACUGGGCGUAAAGGGCGCGUAGGCGGCGCGGUAAGUCACUUGUGAAAUCUCUGAGCUUAACUCAGAACGGCCAAGUGAUACUGCAGUGCUAGAGUGUGGAAGGGGCAAUCGGAAUCCUUGGUGUAGCGGUGAAAUGCGUAGAUAUCAAGAGGAACACCGGAGGUGAAGACGGGUUGCUGGGCCAACACUGACGCUGAGGCGCGAAAGCCAGGGGAGCAAACGGG